UCGUGCCGUGAGGUGUCCUGUUAAGUCAGGCAACGAGCGAGACCUGUAUCCAUUGUUGCUAACGCGUUCGCAAGAAUGAGCGAGCACACUAUGGAGACUGCCUUCGAAAGGAGGAGGAAGGUGCAGGCUACGGUAGGUCAGUAUGCCCCGAAUCUCCUGGGCUACACGCGCGCAACAAUGGUCGUGACAAUGGGAUGCGACUCUGAAAAGAGAAGCCAAUCCUUGAAACGCGAUCUUAGUCUGGAUCGAGGAUUGCAACUCAUCCUCGUGACAACGGAAUCCCUAGUAACCAGAAGUUAGCAUCUUCCGGUGAAUAUGUCCCUGCCUCUUGCACACACCGCCCGUCAAAUCACCCGAGCAGGCUUUAGGUGAGACUUAUUGCGUAAAUAAGCCGAACCUAGAGUCAGUGAGGGGGGUUAAGUCGUAACAAGGUAGCCGUAGGGGAAUCUGCGGCUGGAUCACCUCCA
RNAcentral lists this ribosomal RNA (467 nucleotides) under Candidatus Altarchaeales archaeon. RNAcentral describes it as "bacterial SSU rRNA". It matches the Rfam family "Archaeal small subunit ribosomal RNA", at positions 1009 to 1478 of the family's 1478-position model. The record is from RNAcentral. Lineage: Archaea; Nanobdellati; Candidatus Altarchaeota; Candidatus Altarchaeia; Candidatus Altarchaeales.